GAGACCCACGCCAACAGUUGCCAGCUCGUCCUCCGGGAUGGAGGGGACACUGUUGGGACCGCCUCUGCUAAAGAGGAGGAAGGAAUGGGCAACGGUAGGUCAGCAUGCCCCGAAUUAUCCGGGCUACACGCGGGCUACAAUGGGUGGGACAAUGGGUAUCGACACCGAGAGGUGAAGGCAAUCUCCUAAACCCAUCCUUAGUUCGGAUUGUGGGCUGCAACUCGCCCACAUGAAGCUGGAAUCCGUAGUAAUCGUGUCUCAAAAUGGCACGGUGAAUAU
This 279-nucleotide ribosomal RNA is filed under the name uncultured archaeon. Its description in RNAcentral is "partial 16S rRNA". It matches the Rfam family "Archaeal small subunit ribosomal RNA", at positions 1047 to 1325 of the family's 1478-position model. The record is from RNAcentral.